Molecule: non-coding RNA, 367 nt
Organism: Pelobates cultripes (western spadefoot toad)
Lineage: Eukaryota; Metazoa; Chordata; Amphibia; Anura; Pelobatidae
Source: the annotation of a GenBank genome assembly
GUCACAAGCUCCUGAAUAUUAUUACAACCUGUGGUCUGUAUAUGGCAGUGGGGCACCCUUGUUAGUAUGUAGUUGCCACUGAAGGGCUGGUGAAAGGUUCGCUUGGGGGUCACCCCACGGUAGGGGGGGUCACCGCUCUCAGUGUCGUGAAUAUUCACCCCAAUGUAUGUCCUUGCUGGAAUUGGGGCCACUAGGAUGGUUACUCCUCUUGGAGUGUAUAAGUUUAAAUGGACAAAUGGACAUAUUUAUCUUUAAAGGUGGGAUCCCUUCUCUGUGAUUUGCCAAUAUAAAAUCAGGUAUGGCACUAAUACAAACAGUCAGUACAACAGAACAUAGAAAUAAUAUGAAUGAUCCAACACUGUUUGAU